UGCGUAGGCGGAUUAAUAAGUCAGUGGUGAAAUCUUUCGGCUCAACCGAGAAACUGCCAUUGAUACUGUUAAUCUUGAGUUCGGUUGAGGUAGGCGGAAUGUGUAAUGUAGCGGUGAAAUGCUUAGAUAUUACACAGAACACCAAUUGCGUAGGCAGCUUACUAGACCGACACUGACGCUGAGGCACGAAAACGUGGGGAGCGAACAGGAUUAGAUACCCUGGUAGUCC
Molecule: ribosomal RNA, 229 nt
Filed under: uncultured bacterium
Lineage: Bacteria
Description: partial 16S ribosomal RNA
Rfam family: Bacterial small subunit ribosomal RNA
Source: RNAcentral